GAUUUAUCGGUAUGAGAUGGUGAUGCGUCCGAUUAGGUAGUAGCCGGGGUAACGGCCCACCUAGCCUUCGCAUCGGUAGGGAUUCUGAGAGGAAGGUCCCCCACACUGGAACUGAGACACGGUCCAGACUCCUACGGGAGGCAGCAGUGAGGAAUAUUGGUCAAUGGACGCAAGUCUGAACCAGCCAAGUAGCGUGCAGGAUGACGGCCCUCCGGGUUGUAAACUGCUUUUAGUUGGGAAUAAAAAAAGGGACGUGUCCCUUAUUGUAUGUACCUUCAGAAAAAGGACCGGCUAAUUCCGUGCCAGCAGCCGCGGUAAUACGGAAGGUCCAGGCGUUAUCCGGAUUUAUUGGGUUUAAAGGGAGCGUAGGCGGAUUGUUAAGUCAGCGGUUAAAGGGUGUGGCUCAACCAUACAUUGCCGCUGAAACUGGCGAUCUUGAGUGCAGACAGGGAUGCCGGAAUUCGUGUGUGUAGUCGGUAGAAAUGCUUAGAUAUCACGAAGGACUCCGAUCGCGAAGG
RNAcentral lists this ribosomal RNA (518 nucleotides) under uncultured Bacteroidota bacterium. RNAcentral's name for it is "bacterial SSU rRNA". It matches the Rfam family "Bacterial small subunit ribosomal RNA", at positions 206 to 721 of the family's 1533-position model. Lineage: Bacteria; Pseudomonadati; Bacteroidota. The record is from RNAcentral.